This 478-nucleotide ribosomal RNA is filed under the name uncultured bacterium. RNAcentral describes it as "partial 16S ribosomal RNA". It matches the Rfam family "Bacterial small subunit ribosomal RNA", at positions 28 to 507 of the family's 1533-position model. The record is from RNAcentral.
GACGAACGCUGGCGGCGUGCUUAACACAUGCAAGUCGAACGGGAUUUAGUAGACAGAAGCCUCGGCUAAAGAUUACUAAUGAGAGUGGCGAACGGGUGAGUAACGCGUGAGCAACCUGCCUAUGACAGUGGGAUAGCCUCGGGAAACCGGGAUUAAUACCGCAUAAAAUCGUAGAAACACAUGUUUCAACGGUCAAAGAUUUAUCGGUCAUAGAUGGGCUCGCGUCUGAUUAGCUAGUUGGUGAGAUAACAGCCCACCAAGGCGACGAUCAGUAGCCGGUCUGAGAGGAUGAACGGCCACAUCGGAACUGAGACACGGUCCAAACUCCUACGGGAGGCAGCAGUGGGGAAUAUUGCACAAUGGGGGAAACCCUGAUGCAGCGACGCCGCGUGAACGAAGAAGGUAUUCGUAUCGUAAAGUUCUGUCCUAUGGGAAGAUAAUGACAGUACCAUAGAAGAAAGCUCCGGCUAAAUACGUG